RNAcentral lists this long non-coding RNA (1259 nucleotides) under Serinus canaria (Common canary). Its description in RNAcentral is "lncRNA (ENSSCAG00000009624.1)". The record is from RNAcentral. Lineage: Eukaryota; Metazoa; Chordata; Aves; Passeriformes; Fringillidae.
GGGGAGACAGGGGAAUUUAAAGGGUGUCAGUACUGAGGGGAGCCUGGGGCACUUGAUGGGGACCAGGGGUCCUGUGAGGAACCAGGAGGAUUUGAGGGGGACUGAGGACUUGGAGGGCAGCCAGGGGGACCUCAGAGGGACCAGGGGUUUAGGGGAGCCGAAGNNNNNNNNNNNNNNNNNNNNGGGGACCUGAAAGAUGCUGGAACUGGAGCAGGAGCAGGGGUUCUGAGGGGAGCCAGGGGCACUGAGCGUCACAGGAUUUGCCUGAAGGGAGCCUGCAGCUCCAGCCAGAUGUGCAAUCCUGGCACAGAUCAGAGCACACACAGAACUGGAAGUUGAGUAUUUCUGAGGCUUUCCUAAGUGAGGGAAAGAAUUAUUACAGUAAAGGUACAAUAUCAUUCUUUAUUACAGUUUUUUAUACCACCCAGCUAACUUUCCUGAAUUUGUUGAUUAUGAUUUUCCCUCCUGAAAUAGAUUCUGUAAUUAACAGUUUGUAUCUUUUCAUGCCAGGCCGGAGGGGGCUUGGAACAACCUGGACUAGUGGAAGGUGUCCCUGCCUGAUGCCAAGGUGAGCUGAAGGAUGAUUUUUUCCUUACUGGGACAUGUGCCCUGUUUGUCUCCAGUAUUUUUCUGGAAGAAACCAACAUUUUCUCGUUUAUCCUCGCAGCGGUGGCAGCACUGAUGUCCCUUUCAGACUGAAAUCCAGAGGCUGAUUGCCCUCCCUGGCCCUGGGAGGGUCGGGCAGUGCCAGCCGUGUCCUGCUGUCCCCUUCCUGCCCUUCCUGCAGCACGCUGGGUGUGGGACGAGCGCCGAGGGUCCCGUGGGAGCGCAGGAAGCGCCGAUCCAUGGAGAGGCGAGCAGGGAUGGCCGGAACCAGGACAUUCUGGGGAGCUCCCAAGGUUUGCAUCACACUUCUGCCACAGCUGACUUGGACCCUUUGGAACUGGAAACAAGGCUUGGUUCAGGCAGUGGCUCUAAAAAGCAUUCUGAGGGACCAUGUGGAGGCCAGGAGCAGCUCAGACUCAGGUGGUGAAAGCACAGCACCAUUUCCCUGCCUUGAGGGAAGAAGGUCUCUGAACAGCCAUGCAUCAAGUGAAAUGAAGUGGUUUAUGUCCCAGAGGAGUCUGCAGCUCAUCCACAACAUGAUACCUGCAUGUUUUGAGAGGUUCUCUGGACUUUCUGCCAGGGCUCCUUAUCCAGUUCAUGACAGAGUGGCUUGGGAGGGGAAUGUGCUGUUCAGCAUCUCAGGUAAAACCCAG